AGUGAACGCUGGCGGUAGGCCUAACACAUGCAAGUCGAACGGCAGCACAGUAAGAGCUUGCUCUUACGGGUGGCGAGUGGCGGACGGGUGAGGAAUACAUCGGAAUCUACUUUUUCGUGGGGGAUAACGUAGGGAAACUUACGCUAAUACCGCAUACGACCUACGGGUGAAAGCGGGGGAUCUUCGGACCUUGCGCGAUUGAAUGAGCCGAUGUCGGAUUAGCUAGUUGGCGGGGUAAAGGCCCACCAAGGCGACGAUCCGUAGCUGGUCUGAGAGGAUGGUCAGCCACACUGGAACUGAGACACGGUCCAGACUCCUACGGGAGGCAGCAGUGGGGAAUAUUGGACAAUGGGCGCAAGCCUGAUCCAGCCAUACCGCGUGGGUGAAGAAGGCCUUCGGGUUGUAAAGCCCUUUUGUUGGGAAAGAAAAGCAGCAGGUUAAUACCCCGCUGUUCUGACGGUACCCAAAGAAUAAGCACCGGCUAACUUCGUG
This 492-nucleotide ribosomal RNA is filed under the name uncultured bacterium. RNAcentral describes it as "partial 16S ribosomal RNA". It matches the Rfam family "Bacterial small subunit ribosomal RNA", at positions 29 to 507 of the family's 1533-position model. The record is from RNAcentral.